UUACACAUAUAUAUCAACUACACACAGCAAUAAUUAUUAUAUAAUUAAUAUUAUAAUUAUAUUAAUAAUAUAUAAGGUCAUCUCAAGAUCUCAUGCCUCAACUCACGCCGUCACAUUGGAAUCGUGGAGGGAAGAAAGAAAGAAAAAAACGAAAACGACGCGCGAACCGUUCGAUUGUUUAGGCCGAGCCGCCGCCUCCAGAGGGCGUGGCGAGCGCGACCCCACCCGCCGCCGAGCGUCGUCAGUCGGUCACCAGCGGGCGACGCGCUAGCAACAGCAGCUGCGCGCAGACCAACCGGAAAAUCGCGCCCACCUCGUUAAAAAUAGAGCCUCCGCUAAUCGCACGCGCGAGAGGGGGAACGACGCGACGCGGGGGGGGUCGCAUAAAAUCACACACAGAUUGGGAGAAGGGGGAGGGAGGGGGUCCCCAAAAGCACAGGAGGGGGAAGGAAUAUAUGAAAUAAGGAGAAGCAGGGGAGGGGUGGGGAUGGUUGAGACAUUCGACGAGAGAGCAAAUCGUUCUACUUUUUUUAAAACGUUACCGUCCGAAUAAAACGAGGCGGCGUCGGCGAUGCUGCCCGACGUUAUAGGUGGCGCCGGCGAUGCAGCCCGACGCCAUAGGUGGCGCCGGCGACGCUGCCCGACAUUAUAGGUGGCGCCAACAACACAGCGACAUUACAGGGGGCGCUUACGUCACCUGAAAGUACAGGUGGCGCUAGCAACAUCACCCGACACGACAUGUGGCGCUAGCGACAUCACCCGACAUUACAGGUGGAGCUAGCGACAUAACCCGACAUGACAGGUGGCUCUAGCGACAUCACCCGACAGGACAGGUGGCGCCUGUGGCACUGGUGACAGUAGGUGGCGCCGGCAGCGUCGAGCGACACUGUAGGUGGCGCCGGCGCGGGGAGGACGAGACACGACAAUGACGAACGACAGGAAGCACAAAGAAGCCCAACGAUAAAUACGCCGCCCAC
Molecule: long non-coding RNA, 977 nt
Organism: Priapulus caudatus
Lineage: Eukaryota; Metazoa; Priapulida; Priapulimorpha; Priapulimorphida; Priapulidae
Exons: 2
Source: RefSeq, a predicted model, not a curated record